Molecule: ribosomal RNA, 502 nt
Filed under: uncultured bacterium
Lineage: Bacteria
Description: bacterial SSU rRNA
Rfam family: Bacterial small subunit ribosomal RNA
Source: RNAcentral
AGAGUUUGAUCAUGGCUCAGAUUGAACGCUGGCGGUAUGCUUAACACAUGCAAGUCGAACGGUAACAGUCCCUCACCUAGAAAUUUCUUAAAAAGAGAUUUGUAGGUGAGGGAGCUGACGAGUGGCGGACGGGUGCGUAAUGUAUAGGAAUCUGCCUAGUAGUGGGGGACAACUCGGAGAAAUUCGAGCUAAUACCGCAUAAGCCCUACGGGGGAAAACGGGGGAUCUUCGGACCUCGUGCUAUUAGAUGAGCCUAUAUUAGAUUAGCUUGUUGGUGAGGUAAUGGCUCACCAAGGCGACGAUCUAUAGCUGGUCUGAGAGGAUGAUCAGCCACACUGGGACUGAGACACGGCCCAGACUCCUGCGGGAGGCAGCAGUGGGGAAUAUUGGACAAUGGGCGAAAGCCUGAUCCAGCAAUACCGCGUGUGUGAAGAAGGCCUGAGGGUUGUAAAGCACUUUCAAUUGGGAGGAAUACCUAAUAGUUAAUAGCUAUUAGAUUGAC